Molecule: ribosomal RNA, 250 nt
Filed under: uncultured Pedobacter sp.
Lineage: Bacteria; Pseudomonadati; Bacteroidota; Sphingobacteriia; Sphingobacteriales; Sphingobacteriaceae
Description: partial 16S ribosomal RNA
Rfam family: Bacterial small subunit ribosomal RNA
Source: RNAcentral
UACGGAGGAUCCAAGCGUUAUCCGGAUUUAUUGGGUUUAAAGGGUGCGUAGGCGGCCUGUUAAGUCAGAGGUGAAAGACGGUAGCUCAACUAUCGCAGUGCCUUUGAUACUGACGGGCUUGAAUGGACUAGAGGUAGGCGGAAUGAGACAAGUAGCGGUGAAAUGCAUAGAUAUGUCUCAGAACACCGAUUGCGAAGGCAGCUUACUAUGGUCCUAUUGACGCUGAGGCACGAAAGCGUGGGGAUCAAAC